CCUACGGGGGGCAGCAGUAGGGAAUCUUCCACAAUGGGCGAAAGCCUGAUGGAGCAACGCCGCGUGGGUGAAGAAGGUCUUCGGAUCGUAAAACCCUGUUGUUAGAGAAGAAAGUGCGUGAGAGUAACUGUUCACGUUUCGACGGUAUCUAACCAGAAAGCCACGGCUAACUACGUGCCAGCAGCCGCGGUAAUACGUAGGUGGCAAGCGUUAUCCGGAUUUAUUGGGCGUAAAGGGAACGCAGGCGGUCUUUUAAGUCUGAUGUGAAAGCCUUCGGCUUAACCGGAGUAGUGCAUUGGAAACUGGGAGACUGGAGUGCAGAAGAGGAGAGUGGAACUCCAUGUGUAGCGGUGAAAUGCGUAGAUAUAUGGAAGAACACCAGUGGCGAAAGCGACUCUCUGGUCUGUAACUGACGCUGAGGUUCGAAAGCGUGGGUAGCAAACAGGAUUAGAUACCCCUGUAGUC
RNAcentral lists this ribosomal RNA (465 nucleotides) under uncultured bacterium. Its description in RNAcentral is "partial 16S ribosomal RNA". It matches the Rfam family "Bacterial small subunit ribosomal RNA", at positions 338 to 795 of the family's 1533-position model. The record is from RNAcentral.